AGGCCACUGCUAUCGGGGUUCGAUUAAGCCAUGCGAGUCGAGAGGUGCAAGACCUCGGCAUACUGCUCAGUAACACGUGGACAACCUACCCUAAGGAGGGGGAUAACCCCGGAAAACUGGGGAUAAUACCCCAUAGAAUACAGAAGCUGGAAUGCUCUGUAAUUGAAAGGUCCGCCGCCUUAGGAUGGGUCUGCGGCUGAUUAGGUUGUUGUUGGGGUAACGGCCCAACAAGCCUGUAAUCAGUACGGGUUGUGGGAGCAAGAACCCGGAGAUGGAUUCUGAGACACGAAUCCAGGCCCUACGGGGCGCAGCAGGCGCGAAAACUUUACAAUGCGGGAAACCGUGAUAAGGGAACCCCGAGUGCCCGUAAAUUCGGGCUGU
RNAcentral lists this ribosomal RNA (381 nucleotides) under uncultured archaeon. RNAcentral describes it as "bacterial SSU rRNA". It matches the Rfam family "Archaeal small subunit ribosomal RNA", at positions 21 to 410 of the family's 1478-position model. The record is from RNAcentral.